Non-coding RNA from Tetranychus urticae (two-spotted spider mite), 3588 nucleotides. Lineage: Eukaryota; Metazoa; Arthropoda; Arachnida; Trombidiformes; Tetranychidae. The record is from RefSeq and is a predicted model, not a curated record.
UUGUUAUACAGUAACAUGAUUCAUGUGGUGAAACAUGAUGUGUUCGAUGGUGUUUACGAGGCAAAAUAAGUAUUUUUGUCAUCUUUUUCCCAUAAUCUCUUUCAAUGUCAACCUCAGGAUAACCUUUUGGUUUAAAACGUGGUGUAAAUCGUAAGCUUACACAGCUAUUAAAACAUUGUAAUACCAUCUGAUAUAUAUCUUCUGGUUGAUGGCUGGACACGUAAAUUUUCAAGCUGUUUGAGGCCGGCUAAGUUCUUAAUCCUAUUGAAGGUGUUCUACAUGGGAUUUAAUAAGUUUUCUUGGUCUCAAAGACAAUAAACAUUGCCACAACCAUUUGGUUUUUGACAGCAAAAUAAAGACAAUAUCUUCAAUAAAAAACCACGACAAGAUGUAAAAUGGAAAAGCAUAAUUUUUUAACUGGAAACCAAAAAAUUAUCAACUUUGUCUAUCACCAUCCCAGUAAACCUGAUUGUCACUGAUAAAGCAUUGACAUGUACAACAUAACACUAAUCAAGCAAACGGUAGGCUGUAAAAAACUGAUGGACUCUUCUUUCUGGAUUAACAUAAAGAUCACAAUUGUUAUUUUACAUUUUUUUUCAACAACCACUAAUACUUAGGACAAUUUAAAAGAGAGGGAGAUAUAAAUUUAUACCAUCUAGUAUCUAGCCGAGAAGCCUACUGUGUUAACUGCUUAAGUGUAUUCAACUUGGUACUGUCUAACUUGAUCCAGCUCGCCCUCACAUCUUCCUGUUGAUCAUUCAUUAUGUGCAUCCAUAUUAUUGUAGCCGUUAAAAAUGAUCCUUCAACUAUAAACGUAAAAGGCAACACGAGCCAAAUGUCAGUUGAGAAAAUACAUUUAUUCAAAUGUCAAGUAAUUGCCAAAACUAUACAAACGUGGUAUCAUAAGUCUGUAUGUUUCCAUUGUUUGAACCAUUUGAUAAGGAGCCACGAGUAGAGGGUCAAGUCAGCUUUAUAGCUUUGGAUACUGUUGAUCAUCUUGCUCUUAUUGAUGCUCAAUAUCAAAGGCAGGUGAUUUUUGUUUUCAUCUUUCCCUCACUUUCAUUACAAGGUUUUCAUCAUCAUCAUAAUCAAAGGAAAAUCAACUUCGAGGGAGAAAAAGUUGGACUCUUUCACCGUUUUCUAGUUUCUCUUCUCUCUCUUUAUCUCUCAUUUACCCAAUAUUGAAAUAGAGACCUGACCCUGUUUAACGGAUGCUUAUGAAGAUUGCGAGGGAGAAAGUCUCUUCUUACUCCGGGUGUUUUGAUUUCCUCUAAAGGCACGCUUAUACAUAUACGCAGGUUGUGUUGCUUUUAUUGUUGAUAAUCAACAAUUGACAAAAUUGUAAACGCGCGUGGCCUGGUUUGAUAAUCAUUAUCCUAGUGCAUCAAAAAUCGUGAAAACAUUUCACAAAAGAGUAACGUUUUUUUCAGCUUAAACUACUUUCACUCUUCUGCCUAGGUAACUUAUCCCAAGUAAAAUGAUGAUGAAAGGGAAUCGAUCUGUUUGCGCUCUCAUAGUUAUACUGUUCCCACCUCAAUAAUUCAAGGCUAAUUUUACUAUAAAUCUAUGCUGAUUGCUAUUACAUUUAUUUUUACAAUUUUUCCUUUCUUUUUUUCGGCAAACGUUGUAAUUUUAUCUCUUCUUUUUCUUCUUUCUAUUUCUAGAAAUACCAGUCACCGUUCAAUUUCAUGGAGAAAAGUUACCGGAAAAGCUGAUGCAGUUGAAAAGCAAAAAUAAUUAUUCAUCUCCAAGAGUACUGUCUUUUAUGGUGGUAAAUUCAUUAAGACUUUGUUUUUUGUAACCAAGCUAAAUGUAAAUAUGGCUCUAUGAUUCUGGAUUAGAUACACAUCUUGAUAAUGACGGAACUUCGUUUAAUCAAUCUUCAGAAGUGCGAAAUAAUCAUGAAGCUAUGUAACAAAUUGAUGAUUGAUUUCAUUUUUUUGGUGAAUGUUAAGAUGAGAAACUCGCUAGACUCACGAAAGUCAAUGUUGAAAAAAAGGAAACGAAACUUUUACAUCAAUAAGGAUUUCUUCAUCCGCCGUUUAACUGUGAAUAUAAAUAUUUGAUUGAGAUUUUACGUUUUUUGACAAACCAUGAAUGUUUGUAAACUUGAUCCUGAUCCCUUACUAUAUUGGCUGGAAAAUCGAUUCAUGUUCACACGAUAUUGACCUAGCUGAUCAAUAUUCAUUUAUUAUUAUUGGUCAACAAAAUGGUUUGCCAAGAAUCUUUCUAAUUUAACUGUACCUCAAUUGGGAAAUAUUAUACUCUGAUAAUGGUUAAAGUAACACCAAAUAUUAAAAGAUUUCCGAACAAUAAGGAGCAAGUUCAAGUGUCAUUCCAUUGGCAAAAACGUGGGACAAUAGCGAUGAUCAAAGAGGAAUUGGAAUAAAGCUCAGGAUUAUUAACAUUUAAUAUUACAUGCAAGCUAUUUAACUGGUUGGAUUCAUUUCAAAGGAUUAAUGAGAAAGGACGGAUAAGCAAAAAAGAAGUCCAAGGUGGAAUAAUUAUGAUUAUAAUGAUGACGGAAAGAAGAAGGCGAUGAGAAUGAUGACAAAGUCAAUGAUGAAAAUACAUCUCUGUUGAGAGUCUAUCCUGAUUCUUAUCUUGAUGAUGAGGGAGGACUAAAAAUAGUUGACAAAUACGCAAGUUAACUUGGUACGAAUCGAAUUAAGCUUGAGAAAGGAGACAAACGAUAAACUGGCCUCUAUGAUCAAUCAAAAUAUGUGAGAAGAUGAAGAGAUCCAAGAUUUCAUUCUAUCUUCAUCUCCAUUUCUUUCCCAUCUUCCUGACGUCCCUGAUUUUGGCUGCAUCUUUCCUCCUUUAAGAAUGUUCAUCACUCUUAAUGUUAAUAAUUUUUCUCACUAUAACUCAUUUUUGGCUUCCAACACUGGUCUUUAAAACUUGCCAAUUUAAAGAGUUUUGAGAAAAUGGGAAAAAUUUGAAUUUCUAAGAAUCCAAUUGAAAUUAAGAUUCUUAACUGUUGAUUCAAUCUUGGUCAGCUUUCGCCUUAAAUUUCACUUCUGUAAAGUGCCUGUCAAUUGAUGGUUAAUGGUUUCAAGAACAAUCGUUUCAUUUCAACUAUAAGAUGAUUUUUCCGAGUCUCUUUCUCGUUAAUUGGAUAACUAUCAAGUGAUGAUUUUUCCAUGCGAUCCCAUGUAUACUUUGAAUAUAAGGAAAACUGAAUUGGUGAACAGUUUCCUUUUAACUGUUUCUUUCGUGUUAUUGGAUUAGUGGUUGAUUAACAUUUCCACAAGCAUUCACAAUUGACUUAUUGUCUUGAUUGGUUAUUUGUUGACAUGAAGAUACUUGAAGAUGCUAUUAAUUGUCUUUCAAAUUGAUAGUUUAAGACUAGUUAAUCACGCAAAUCAUGGAUCUUAACAUCAGUGGAUUGUCAUUAUUUAUUAACAUUGGUAAAUCAACUCUACAAGUAACUGUCUUCCUUCAACCCAAAUUUGAUAAUGAAAUGAAAUGAGUGAAACCAUUGAAUUAUAAAAUCUAGUGUUUAACAAUCACUUUAUUGUAAACAAUAAAACCUGAUUGAAUACCUUGAAAAUUUAAAUAAAUUUCAACUCAGGUUAAUUAUUCAAA